AUUUAACCCGGAAGUACCCUUUAAAAAGCCGCGAAGUUCAAAUUUAGAACUCGCAGGUGAUUUAAAUUGAUAUAAAACCAUGACCGCAUUUUCUGAGCAAACAUUUCCAACACAACACCAAACUCAUACGGUUGAAGAGCUGCGGCAUGCUAUUCGUGGAAAGAGUGAGGAACUGGAGAAAGUCCGACAAGAAAGACGUCGUGCUGAAGAACAGAUAACUCACAUUGUGAAGGAAACAAAGCAGAGAGCAGAUUUGAUGAUCGGAAAAAGUGGAGUUGUUGAUGCGUUGCAGCAGCUGGGUCAUCUCCUGCAAGAGGAAAUGCAUCUCUCUGAACAGCUGAAUGAUCAAGCCUCUGCAGAUCGGAAUGAAAUUAGUAGUUUACAGGAAAGGACUGAACAUGCAACAGAGGAGGUGAGAAGAAUUGCUGCUGAAAUUGUGGAGGUGAAACAGCGUCUGGCGGAAGUCAAGGCUCGUAAUAUGAAAGCAUAAGCUUUGAUCCCGGGAAAUGAACUGAAUAAGUAUUUGAAGUUUGUAGACUACUGGAACAUCUGUUGUUUUGUUUUGUUAACUUGCAUUAAAUAGUUUUUGUGUGUUUUAUAUUUAUUCUAUAUCUAAUAAAAUGUUUGAUUUUACUCUUGUACCAGAAGUACUUUUCCUUCACUUCACUGGUGUUUAAAUAACCAGGAGAGGGCUGUCAUAACAUGUCUGAGACGUAUUUUAUUGUUUUUAAAUUCAAAUUACAGUGUAAUAUUCAUAAUACUCAUAAAUUGUUUCUAGGGUGUCCAGAAAGAUAGUCUUUGGUGCAAACGUAAAUUGUCAUACAUGAUUGUGUGGAUUAGGCUGAGGUAUGGUAUCAUGCAGGUUUACUGUUUUGUUAUGUGAUUUGGGUUAAAACCCUUAAUA
Amphiprion ocellaris (clown anemonefish) is the source of this 904-nucleotide long non-coding RNA. Lineage: Eukaryota; Metazoa; Chordata; Actinopteri; Pomacentridae. The record is from Ensembl.